This 490-nucleotide ribosomal RNA is filed under the name uncultured bacterium. RNAcentral describes it as "partial 16S ribosomal RNA". It matches the Rfam family "Bacterial small subunit ribosomal RNA", at positions 899 to 1397 of the family's 1533-position model. The record is from RNAcentral.
ACUCAAAGGAAUAGACGGGGACCCGCACAACCUGUGGAGCGUGUGGUUUAAUUCGAGACAAAGCGAAAAACCUUACCAGGGCUUGACAUCUUAUCGUUUUAUACCUUUGGAAACUUUGGUAGAUCCGCAAGGAUGAUAGGACAGGUGCUGCAUGGUUGUCGUCAGCUCGUGCCGUGAGGUGUUCCCUUAAGUGGGGAAACGAGCGCAACCCCCGUGAAAUGUUAAAUAUUCAUUUCAGACUGCCCUGUUUUUACAGGGAGGAAGGAGGGGUAGAUGUCAAAUCAGCAUGGCCCUUAUGCCCUGGGUUACACACACACUACAAUGGCGAAAAACAACGUGUUGCCAGCUAGCAAUAGCGAGCUAAUCACUGAAAUUUCGCCUCAGUUCAGAUUGGGGUCUGCAACCCGACCCCAUGAAGUCGGAAUAGGUAGUAAUCGCGGAUCAGCAUGCCGCGGUGAAUACGUUCUCGGGUCUUGUACACACCGCCCGU